GACGAACGCUGGCGGCGUGCUUAACACAUGCAAGUCGAGCGGUAAGGCCCUUUCGGGGGUACACGAGCGGCGAACGGGUGAGUAACACGUGGGUGACCUGCCCUCAGCUCUGGGAUAAGCCUGGGAAACCGGGUCUAAUACUGGAUAUGACUCCAUGACGCAUGUUGUGGGGUGGAAAGCCUUGUGCGGCUGAGGAUGGGCCCGCGGCCUAUCAGCUUGUUGGUGGGGUGANGGCCUACCAAGGCGACGACGGGUAGCCGGCCUGAGAGGG
This 271-nucleotide ribosomal RNA is filed under the name uncultured bacterium. RNAcentral describes it as "partial 16S ribosomal RNA". It matches the Rfam family "Bacterial small subunit ribosomal RNA", at positions 28 to 300 of the family's 1533-position model. The record is from RNAcentral.